GCCAGGCAUGGUGGCGCGUGCCUGUAAUCCCAGCUACUUGGGAGGCUGAGGCAGGAGACUUGCUUGAACCUGGGAGGCGGAGAUUGCAGUGAGCCAAGAUCAUGCCACUGCACUCCAGCCUGGAUGACAGAGCAAGACUCCGUCUCUU
This is an unclassified non-coding RNA of Pongo abelii (Sumatran orangutan), 148 nucleotides long. It matches the Rfam family "Metazoan signal recognition particle RNA". From Rfam's summary of the family: The signal recognition particle (SRP) is a universally conserved ribonucleoprotein. It is involved in the co-translational targeting of proteins to membranes. The record is from Ensembl. Lineage: Eukaryota; Metazoa; Chordata; Mammalia; Primates; Hominidae.